This 514-nucleotide ribosomal RNA is filed under the name Anomala globulata. RNAcentral's name for it is "partial 16S ribosomal RNA". It matches the Rfam family "Bacterial large subunit ribosomal RNA", at positions 1819 to 2600 of the family's 2925-position model. Lineage: Eukaryota; Metazoa; Arthropoda; Insecta; Coleoptera; Scarabaeidae. The record is from RNAcentral.
GUCUUUUUGAUUAUAAUUUAAAGUCUGACCUGCCCAAUGAGGAAUUGAAUGGCCGCGGUAAUUUGACCGUGCAAAGGUAGCAUAAUCAUUAGUUUUUUAAUUGAAAGCUGGAAUGAACGGUUGGACGAGAAAAUAGCUGUCUCAAUUUAAUUGAAUAUAGAAUUUUAUCUAUAAGUAAAAAAGCUUAUAUGAUUUUAAAAGACGAGAAGACCCUAUAGAGUUUUAUAUUUUACUAUAUUGAUUAAGUUUAGUAUGUUUAUAUUUUUUAUAUAGUAAAGUAUUUUGCUGGGGCAGCAGAGAAAUUCAAUGAACUUUUUUUAUUACUAUUACAUUAGUUUAUGGUUAAAUGAUCCAUUUUUUAUGAUUACAAGAUUAAAUUACCUUAGGGAUAACAGCGUAAUUUUUUUUUAGAGUUCUUAUCGAAAAAAGAGUUUGCGACCUCGAUGUUGGAUUAAAAUUAACUUUUGGUGUAGGGGCUAAAAGGUUAGGUCUGUUCGACCUUUAAAAUUUUACA